GUCCAUAAGGGUUAGUAUUACCCUUAUGGAAGCACAUGUAGCAGUAGCA
This 49-nucleotide non-coding RNA is filed under the name unclassified sequences. The record is from Rfam.